AUUGAACGCUGGCGGCAUGCCUUACACAUGCAAGUCGAACGGCAGCACGGGAGCAAUCCUGGUGGCGAGUGGCGAACGGGUGAGUAAUAUAUCGGAACGUGCCCAGUCGUGGGGAUAACGUAGCGAAAGUUACGCUAAUACCGCAUACGAUCUACGGAUGAAAGCGGGGGAUCGCAAGACCUCGCGCGAUUGGAGCGGCCGAUAUCAGAUUAGGUAGUUGGUGAGGUAAAGGCUCACCAAGCCGACGAUCUGUAGCUGGUCUGAGAGGACGACCAGCCACACUGGGACUGAGACACGGCCCAGACUCCUACGGGAGGCAGCAGUGGGGAAUUUUGGACAAUGGGCGCAAGCCUGAUCCAGCAAUGCCGCGUGCAGGAUGAAGGCC
Molecule: ribosomal RNA, 385 nt
Filed under: uncultured bacterium
Lineage: Bacteria
Description: bacterial SSU rRNA
Rfam family: Bacterial small subunit ribosomal RNA
Source: RNAcentral